RNAcentral lists this ribosomal RNA (156 nucleotides) under Pseudocoleophoma polygonicola. RNAcentral describes it as "5.8S rRNA". It matches the Rfam family "5.8S ribosomal RNA". Rfam says of the family: 5.8S ribosomal RNA (5.8S rRNA) is a component of the large subunit of the eukaryotic ribosome. It is transcribed by RNA polymerase I as part of the 45S precursor that also contains 18S and 28S rRNA. Functionally, it is thought that 5.8S rRNA may be involved in ribosome translocation. Lineage: Eukaryota; Fungi; Ascomycota; Dothideomycetes; Pleosporales; Dictyosporiaceae. The record is from RNAcentral.
AACUUUUAACAAUGGAUCUCUUGGUUCUGGCAUCGAUGAAGAACGCAGCGAAAUGCGAUAAGUAGUGUGAAUUGCAGACUUUAGUGAAUCAUCGAAUCUUUGAACGCACAUUGCGCCCCUUGGUAUUCCAUUGGGCAUGCCUGUUCGAGCGUCAUU